RNAcentral lists this ribosomal RNA (253 nucleotides) under uncultured bacterium. RNAcentral's name for it is "partial 16S ribosomal RNA". It matches the Rfam family "Bacterial small subunit ribosomal RNA", at positions 524 to 776 of the family's 1533-position model. The record is from RNAcentral.
GACAGAGGUCCCAGGCGUUAGGCGGAAUCACUGGGCUUAAAGCGUGUGUAGGCGGACUUCUAAGUACCUUGUGAAAUCCCACGGCUCAACCGUGGAACUGCUUGGUAUACUGGUUGUCUUGGGCCAUCUAGGGGCUAGCGGAACAAACGGUGGAGCGGUGAAAUGCGUAGAUAUCGUUUGGAACGCCAAUGGUGAAAACAGCUAGCUGGGGAUGUGCCGACGCUGUGACACGAAAGCCAGGGGAGCGAACGGG